Molecule: ribosomal RNA, 434 nt
Filed under: uncultured Roseburia sp.
Lineage: Bacteria; Bacillati; Bacillota; Clostridia; Lachnospirales; Lachnospiraceae
Description: partial 16S ribosomal RNA
Rfam family: Bacterial small subunit ribosomal RNA
Source: RNAcentral
ACGGGAGGCAGCAGUGGGGAGUAUUGCACAAUGGGGGAAACCCUGAUGCAGCGACGCCGCGUGAGCGAUGAAGUAUUUCGGUAUGUAAAGCUCUAUCAGCAGGGAAGAUAAUGACGGUACCUGACUAAGAAGCACCGGCUAAAUACGUGCCAGCAGCCGCGGUAAUACGUAUGGUGCAAGCGUUAUCCGGAUUUACUGGGUGUAAAGGGAGCGCAGGCGGUACGGCAAGUCUGAUGUGAAAGCCCGGGGCUCAACCCCGGUACUGCAUUGGAAACUGUCGAACUAGAGCGUCGGAGGGGUAAGUGGAAUUCCCAGUGUAGCGGUGAAAUGCGUAGAUAUUAGGAGGAACACCAGUGGCGAAGGCGACUUACUGGACGAUAACUGACGCUGAGGCUCGAAAGCGUGGGGAGCAAACAGGAUUAGAUACCCUGGUA